Long non-coding RNA from Mus musculus (house mouse), 2869 nucleotides. RefSeq annotates it as predicted gene, 35899. The transcript has 3 exons. NCBI's taxonomy places the organism in Eukaryota, Metazoa, Chordata, Mammalia, Rodentia, Muridae. The record is from RefSeq and is a predicted model, not a curated record.
GUAGUCAGGAAGCUGUCCUGUCCAGCUCUACAGCCAAGCUCAGUGUUCCUCAGCACUGCUGCAGGGCACUUCCUUUUGCUGGAGGUGCAGGGUUUGAUGUGCAUGUGCCCUAGUCAGAUGGUGUCAUCCCACUAGCAGGUCAUUUGAUGUCCCAUCUUCCGUUCCCACUGGAGCCAUGACCCACCCUUCACUAAGUCCAUUGAUCUGAGAGUGGCAGGAUGUGCAGACUUAACCUGUCUCCUGGGAGCGCAUUUAUUGUCAUGUUGCUUGGGUAUGGAAGGAUAACUCUUAUUCCUAGUGAAAGAAGUCCUCUCGGAGAUCUAAACAAACACAGAAUAGUUCUUAUAAGUCUGGUCAUGAAGUCCCAACCUUCCCAUAGAUGACUUGAUUAUGCCCCCAUUGAGCAGCAGCUGUUUCCAUGGUCCUUGUUCCCCCACAGGGAUCCUUAGACAGUCCAUUCAUUCAGCUGCCACACUGACCAGGUGUCCAGGGUAUCAGCAAUGACACCAUAGUAAGUAAAAAUGUGGCUGGAUGUGGUGGCAGAGGUGGCCAGCAGACCCUAAAGAUGCAGAGCCUAUUGUAUACAUCAUUUCCAAUCUAGGUCAGAAGAUUGCCAUUGAGUGUCCAGAUGGCAGCGAUGUUCAGUGCACCUUCAUGAUUGCAGUUUUAUAGAGCCAUCAGUGGCCACACCUCUGAAUCCUGGACCCUUAGCCACAGUGGGCUGGAGCAUCCACUAGAGGUCACUCUGGUGACUUGCUGGUAAGCUAGCCGUUAACUUGUAGAGCUUGCUGAUCCAUUGGGUAUGUCACCUGGGCCCAAGUUUUAAUGUAUCAUUUCAUUCUGCAACUGAAUUCUGUUGUGUUUGUCUAUUUACACUAAUUGUGCUCAAUAUCAAAGUAACCAAGAAUGGGAGGAUUAUAACAAUGAAAAAUUGCCUUAGGUGUGAAAGCUGAAAUUGCCUUGUAGGUCUGAAAGCUGAGAAGUUCAAGUUGCCAGCAGGUUUGCUGUCUGCUCUCAAAAUGGUGUCCUGUGAAGACAGUGAGAUGGUCCUGUGGGUCAAGAUACACUCAGAAUUGGCUUUACCACCCAUGUUUCCGCCAACAUGCAGAUCUAAGCCAGGAGCACGGAUUACCAUGAGCAACUGAAGUCACGAAGAGGGAGACUCCUGCACUCAGUUAUUGCUGCUGCCCCACCCUUGAGAGCAGAAGUGAUUUACUUUUAGCCUGUCCUGAUCUUCACACGUGCUGCCUAUCCAGUGCUCUGGAUUCUCACAGAUACCAUGAGAGCCUCUGCUUUACACUUUGAAAGCAUUUUGAAUUAGUUUGUUCUCCUCCCACUCAGUUUAGAAACUGUCUUGGGGUGACUUGUGACACGUUAAAUCGAUACGGAAUUAUAAAUCUCAGGAAAGUGCUUUAUGAUAUAGUGAAAUGUGAUAACAAUUUAAACUCUCUCUGGCUGUUCUGGUUCUCCAUCUGCAGAUCAGGCUAGCCUCCAACACUGGUUUGUAAACUUUUAAACUUAGCCUAUAUAAUGCAAAAUAGUGACUUUAUUCCAUCUUCAUGCAUAUAUAUUAUCACACUUUGCUCAGAUUGACUCCUGCUUUACUGUCUCUUGUUCUCCUAAGUGAGAACCAUGGGUCCUCCUCUUCAAUAGUCACAAUUUUAUGUUUUUUUUCAAUUUCCCUCCAGAUUGCUGCCCUCCUUCCUGGUUCCCUAUCCCCCCACCCUGUUACACAGUCCCUUUCCCCACACUCCAUCCCUUGUUCCCUUUCUCCUUUGAGAAUGUGAAGAACUUCCCCCCCCCCCCCUGCAGGUCCAGGAGCAUCCUCUCCCACUGAAGCCAGACAAUACAUCCUACUUAAGGGAACUCUACAGAUAGGGAACAGCAUUAGCAAUAGCCCUCUUUCUCCUAUUGCGGAACAAGCUAUACAUCUGCUACCUGUGUGCAGGGUGCCCAUGUAUGCUCUUUGGUUGGUGGUUCAGUCUCUGAGGGCCCCAAGGAUCCAGGUUAGUUGACUUUGUUGGUCCUUCUGCGGAGUUCCUAUCCUAUUUAGGGCUCUCAAUCCUUUCCCCAGCUCUUCCAUAAGAGUCCCCAAGCUUCAUCUUGUGUUUGGCUGUGAGUCUCAGCAUCUAUUUUUGGUCAGCUUCUGGGUAGAGCCUCUCAGAGGACAGUUAUGCUAGGCUCCUGUCUGCAAGCAGAACAGAGUAUCAUUAAUAGUGUCAGAUAUUGGUAAUUGAAAAUGGGAUUGGCCUCAAGUUGGACCAGUUAUUGGUUGGCCAUUCCCUCAAUCUUUGCUCCACCCCCAUCUCUGCAUUUCUUGUAGACAGGAUAAAUUUUGGGUCUAAAGUUUUGUGGUUGUAUUGGUGCCCUUUAUACUUUUUAUAUGUUUAAAAUAAAUCUGGGUUCCACAUCAAGGAAAAAUGCUAUGUGAGUGAAGGGACUCUAGCUGUCCUGAGAAAGACAAGCAUGGCUCUGGCAGGCCUUGCCCUUCUCCACAAUUCCCUCUCCUUGGGUAAAUCCUGUUAGAUUAUAUUCCUAAAGCUGGUUGCUAAGGUCUAUUCCUUUAUUUGGCCACUUCCUCCUUCUGGGGCUAUCAAAGUAUUGAAGUUCAUCAGUCAAAAACCCCCUUACAGUUAAUCUAUUUAACAUGCCCAAUCAAAAUUAAACAGCUCAUCCUUACACGGAGUUUCACCUUUGAUUGUAUAAACUACCAUCUGCCUGUGGGCCAUGUCUGCCUCCUCUCUAUCCAGAGGCAGUACUUUGUUCCCUUUCCCCUUGCUCCUUUCCUACUCUUCUUAGUCUUCUAGCUCCCGUCUUUGUCUCUUAUUCUCUGGCCUGUUUUCCCUGGCAAAUAAAUCUCCUUUGUGUA